RNAcentral lists this ribosomal RNA (506 nucleotides) under uncultured bacterium. RNAcentral's name for it is "partial 16S ribosomal RNA". It matches the Rfam family "Bacterial small subunit ribosomal RNA", at positions 30 to 523 of the family's 1533-position model. The record is from RNAcentral.
AUUGAACGCUGGCGGUAGGCCUAACACAUGCAAGUCGAACGGCAGCACAGAGGAGCUUGCUCCUUGGGUGGCGAGUGGCGGACGGGUGAGGAAUACAUCGGAAUCUACUCUGUCGUGGGGGAUAACGUAGGGAAACUUACGCUAAUACCGCAUACGACCUACGGGUGAAAGCAGGGGACCUUCGGGCCUUGCGCGAUUGAAUGAGCCGAGGUCGGAUUAGCUAGUUGGCGGGGUAAAGGCCCACCAAGGCGACGAUCCGUAGCUGGUCGGAGAGGAUAGUCAGCCACACUGGAAAUGAGACACGGUCCAGACUCCUACGGGAGGCAGCAGUCGGGAAUAUUGGACAAUGGGCGCCAGCUUGAUGCAGCCAUACCGCGUGGGUGAAGACGGCCUUCGGGUUGUAAAGCUCUUUUGUUGGGAAAGAAAGCCAGCUGGCUAAUACCCGGUUGGGACGACGGUACCCAAAGAAUAAGCACCGGCUAACUUCGUGCCAGACGCCGCCGUAA